Long non-coding RNA from Xiphophorus couchianus (Monterrey platyfish), 1542 nucleotides. RefSeq lists it as uncharacterized. The transcript has 2 exons. NCBI's taxonomy places the organism in Eukaryota, Metazoa, Chordata, Actinopteri, Cyprinodontiformes, Poeciliidae. The record is from RefSeq and is a predicted model, not a curated record.
UGCUGUCAAAUGAUACCUUCAAGGGUCCCGUGGAGUGAAAGUUAGAGUCCAGUUCGGGCACUGCUGCUCCCGCCCCGGCGUCCAGCACAGGCAAGCCGCUUUCUGUCUCUGAGAGGACACCAGCACACCUUUCCCUUUCUCGAGAAGGGAUAGUGUUUCAAAGCUAUAUGCACCUCAGCCACCACUGGGUGACAAGCCCCCGCAGCAGUGAGAACACGACUGCCCCGAUGCAUGUGUGCGUGAGAGCGUGAGAGACCUGUCUUUCCCUCCCCUGUAGCGCUCAUUCCAGCAGAUUCUGCUGGCAAAAGAUGUGGUUCACCCUGCCAACAGCAACCACCCGUAUCCAUCCCAUGCUUCUAUCCUCCUCUCUCUUUCCCCCUUGGCUGCCUGAUGAGGGAGAGAGGAAGAGCCCUACAGCUCCAUUCAUUUUUCAUCUGCAUGGGUUUUAUCUGUGAUUAGAGUGUGUCUGAGUGAAUCUCGCUGUACCGCAUGUCCAAAUAGGUGCCAGCAUGUAUGUUGGCUUGCAAAAGUAUUGACACCCUUUGAAGAUUUUUUAUUUUUUUUAUUUAAUUUUGUAUUGCUACAACUACAAACAUCAAUGUUUAGAAUUGUGUGUGUGCCUCUUCCAGUUUUGGAUUGAAGGGAGAGUGAAUAUCAAUCUUGCCACAGAUUCUCGGUUGACUUUAGUAAGGCGUGAGACUAAAUUGCUCCAAUUUAGUCUUACACCUGAAAUCACUUGAAAUCCAUAUCAUGUGGAUUUCAAGUGAUAUGAAACACUUUUUAUUGUUGCUCAGGAUGUAUGUUUAGAGUCGAAUGUGAACCUCUGCCCCACUCACUUAUGAGCCUACAUCUAUGCAUCUAGCUUCUCAUCGUUUCUGGUUUCUCUGCUGAAGAAAAGCACCCUUACAUGAAUAAUCAUGCGUUUCAUUGUAGCGAUGGCAUGGUUUCAGUUCUUUUCUUGUACAUGUUUUUUUUUUUUCAUGUAGUCCAAAAAGUUCAAAUUUGUUCCCCUUCAAACAGAGCAUCAUUUGGCAAACAGAAAACUGAACUUCAUUUUGUUUUCUUAGCAUGGGGCCUCUUGGUUGCUUUUCCAAUCAAUGCUUAGUAAUCAAUUAAACAUUUCCCAAUAUGUAUAGUCUUAGUUUUGUACUUGUUUUUUUCACUUUGCAGAUAAUGGAUUGGAUAAUCCUUUUUGUAAACUUGUGCAUUUUCUUUUACCCCACUUUAAAAUUCUCUUCAACUUUCUCAUUGACCUGUCUGAUGUUUUCCUCCAAAGUCUACCCAGAACACCUCAAUCAAAUUACACACAAGUGGGCUCUGUAUUGUUGUUAAGGAGACAGAUAAUUGUGAAGGCAAUGUGUUGCAUAUAGGACUUUAUAUCCACAUUUUUAUUUUAGAGAGUUCAAAAACAAUGUGUAAUUUAUAUUGACCUUUUACCACUAUGUACUACUUUGUGUUGGUAUCUCUCAUUAAACCUAAAUAAAACACAUUAAGGUUUGUGGAUGUAUGAAUACUUUGAAUAGUAUUAUUGCUUUGUGAUUG